GGCAAGGCAUGGUGGUGCGCACCUGUAGUCCCAGCUACUCAGGAGCCUGAGGCAAGAGGAUUGCUUGAGCCCAGGAGUUCUGGGUUGUAGUGCACUAUGCUGAUCAAGUGUCCACACUAAGUUCAUCAAUAUAGUGACCUCCUGGGAGCCAAGGACCAACCAACAGGUUGCCUAGGGAGGGAUGAACCAGCCCAGGUUGGAAAUGGAGCAGGCCAAAAUUUCCGUGCCAAUUAGUAGUGGCAUCAUGCCUGUGAAUAGCCACUGCAUUCUGGCCGAGCUGAUAUCACAAGACUCUGUCUCU
Molecule: signal recognition particle RNA, 301 nt
Filed under: Cebus imitator (Panamanian white-faced capuchin)
Lineage: Eukaryota; Metazoa; Chordata; Mammalia; Primates; Cebidae
Description: Metazoan signal recognition particle RNA (ENSCCAG00000012945.1)
Rfam family: Metazoan signal recognition particle RNA
About the family: The signal recognition particle (SRP) is a universally conserved ribonucleoprotein. It is involved in the co-translational targeting of proteins to membranes.
Source: RNAcentral